AGUUUCCUCUGCCGGGGCGCCCCGCAGGCCUGCUUGGACAGCUGUGGCUUGCCGGCACGAAGGCCACGAAGCUGCAGAUCAACCACUGCCGUCCAUCUCCACCCGAAAUCAGAGCCAGAGGAAAUGGAUGGGAGUGGAGCCCGAAUUUACUCACAAAGUUGAAUUUCCUCCCAAGUCUUGUUCUGUCGCCCAGGCUGGAGUGCAAUGAUGCGAUCUCGGCUUACUGCAACCUCCGCCUCCCAGCUUCAAGCGAUUCUCCUGCCUUAGCCUCCCAAGUAGCUGGGAUUACAGGCGCACACCACCACACCUGGCUAAUUUUUGUAUUUUUAGUAGAGACGGCAUUUCACCAUGUUGGCCAGGCUGGCCUCAAACCCCUGACAUCAAAUGAUCCACCAGGCUCAGCCUUUCAAAGUGCUGUGAUUACAGGCAUGAGCCACUGCACCCAGCUCCUCCCCAGGUCUUCUUAGCAUUUAACUUAGCAUCCAACUUUACUCAUUUAGGAUUCUUACAUUACAGCAAUUGGACCUUAUGGAGUAAUUAAAGUAAAAAGCAAAGCAAACCGAACUAAAAGGAAAUCCUAGUUAAGUGAGUUAUUUCUAAUUUUUGAAAUCAGCUUGUUUUCCUUCAUGGAAUUGUCUCACAUUCUGGGAAAUCAAGCUGAGCCAUCUGGUGAACGGUUGUUUCCAAUCGAUAGGCUUUGAGGUUGGUGAUGGGUUCUUAUUGUUUUAGGGAUUUUUCCCUUUCAUAUAAACAGUUUCCUUUGUUGGAAAUUGAGCCCCUGCUACACCAAACCUGAGCAUCUCUUUCCACUGUGCUAUCCUUUUUUUUUUUUUUUUUUGAGACUGAAUUUCGCUCUUGUUGCCCAGACUGGAGUGCAGUAAUGUGAUCUCGGCUCACUGCAACCUCUGCCUCCUGGGUUCAAGCAAUUCUGCUGCCUCAGCCUCCCACGUAGCUGAGAUUACAGGCAUGUGCCACCACGCCUGGCUAAUUUUUGUUUUUUUAGUAGAGACAGGGUUUCACCCUGUUGGCCAGGAUGGUCUUGAUCUCUUGACCUCGUGAUUCACCACCUCAGCCUCCCAAAGUGCUGGGAUUACAGGCGUGAGCCACCAUGCACAGCCUCCACUGUGCUCUUCUUAAGUUGUUACUCAUCGCUGAUCCUGGCCCACCAACUCUUAGGUCAGAUGCUGACAGUGUAAACUCUGGCUGAUCUGAUCAGCUCCCCACAGAAGUUCCUUGACUUCUGUCUACCCCGGUGCUGACACAGUUCCCACCCCAGCCCACCACACUUGCACCCAUAGUCUCAUCCGGGUGACUCUGUGUGUUCACAAACUCAAAUGGCUAUGAAAAGCUUAGCCAGUGGUAACCAAAGUAACAGGACUGGGGCCAGAAAACAUCCUUAACUCAGAGAACAACAUCUUGAUUCUUGCAUGAGUGGUUUUUCAG
Molecule: long non-coding RNA, 1443 nt
Organism: Pongo pygmaeus (Bornean orangutan)
Lineage: Eukaryota; Metazoa; Chordata; Mammalia; Primates; Hominidae
Exons: 3
Source: RefSeq, a predicted model, not a curated record